AUGGCUCAGGAUGAACGCUAGCGACAGGCUUAACACAUGCAAGUCGAGGGGCAUCACGGGAGUAGCAAUACAACUGGUGGCGACCGGCGCACGGGUGAGUAACGCGUAUGCAACCUACCUAUCAGAGGGGAAUAACCCGGCGAAAGUCGGACUAAUACCGCAUAAAGCAGGGGCACCGCAUGGUGAUAUUUGUUAAAGAAAUUCGCUGAUAGAUGGGCAUGCGUUCCAUUAGGUAGUUGGUGAGGUAACGGCUCACCAAGCCGACGAUGGAUAGGGGAACUGAGAGGUUGGUCCCCCACACUGGUACUGAGACACGGACCAGACUCCUACGGGAGGCAGCAGUGAGGAAUAUUGGUCAAUGGGCGGGAGCCUGAACCAGCCAAGUCGCGUGAAAGGAAGAAGGAUCUAUGGUUCGUAAACUUCUUUUGCAGGGGAAUAAAGUGCAGGACGUGUCCUGUUUUGUAUGUACCCUGAGAAUAAGGAUCGGCUAACUCCGUGCCAGCCGCAGC
RNAcentral lists this ribosomal RNA (509 nucleotides) under uncultured bacterium. RNAcentral describes it as "bacterial SSU rRNA". It matches the Rfam family "Bacterial small subunit ribosomal RNA", at positions 19 to 518 of the family's 1533-position model. The record is from RNAcentral.